This 453-nucleotide ribosomal RNA is filed under the name Triticum aestivum (bread wheat). RNAcentral describes it as "partial small subunit ribosomal RNA". Lineage: Eukaryota; Viridiplantae; Streptophyta; Magnoliopsida; Poales; Poaceae. The record is from RNAcentral.
AUGCGUGUGGGAAAUGGUUCCAAAGUCGAUGUGAUCGCGGUCGGCAUGCUACCUCUACAUCUACCUUCGGGAUUAGUUUUAGACCUGAAUAAUUGUUAUUUGGUGCCAUCGUUAAGCAUGAACAUUAUAUCUAGAUCUUGUUUGAUGCGAGAUGGUUAUUCAUUUAAAUCAGAGAAUAAUGGCUGUUCUAUUUAUAUGAGUAAUAUCUUUUAUGGUCAUGCACCCUUGAUGAGUGGCCUAUUUUUGUUGAAUCUCGAUAGUAGUGAUACACAUAUUCAUAAUAUUGAAGCCAAAAGAUGCAAGGUUAAUAAUGAUAGUGCAACUUAUUUGUGGCACUGCCGUUUAGGUCAUAUUGGUGUAAAGCGCAUGAAGAAACUCCAUGCUGAUGGGCUUUUGGAAUCACUUGAUUAUGAAUCACUUGAUGCUUGCAAACCAUGCAUCAUGAGAAGAUGA